Molecule: non-coding RNA, 72 nt
Organism: Phthorimaea operculella (potato tuberworm)
Lineage: Eukaryota; Metazoa; Arthropoda; Insecta; Lepidoptera; Gelechiidae
Source: the annotation of a GenBank genome assembly
GCGCCCGUAGCUCAGUCGGUAGAGCGGUGGAACGGUGAUCCACAGUCCCGGGUUUAAAUCCCGACGGACGCU